RNAcentral lists this ribosomal RNA (228 nucleotides) under uncultured fungus. RNAcentral's name for it is "partial 18S ribosomal RNA". It matches the Rfam family "Eukaryotic small subunit ribosomal RNA", at positions 40 to 274 of the family's 1831-position model. The record is from RNAcentral. Lineage: Eukaryota; Fungi.
AAGAUUAAGCCAUGCAUGUCUAAGUAUAAGCAAUUAUAUAGUGAAACUGCGAAUGGCUCAUUAAAUCAGUUAUCGUUUAUUUGAUAGUACCUAACUACUUGGAUAACCGUGGUAAUUCUAGAGCUAAUACAUGCUAAAAACCCCGACCUCCGGAAGGGGUGUAUUUAUUAGAUAAAAACCAAUGCCUUCGGGCUUGUUGGUGAUUCAUGAUAACCCAACGAAUCGCAU